Molecule: long non-coding RNA, 2355 nt
Filed under: Aotus nancymaae (Ma's night monkey)
Lineage: Eukaryota; Metazoa; Chordata; Mammalia; Primates; Aotidae
Description: lncRNA (ENSANAG00000038901.1)
Source: RNAcentral
CGCUGGAGGAGCUGCGCGGCCGGCGGAGAACUUUUUUCCUUUUCCCUUCGCUCUCCCUCUUCGGCUCGCGCCUAGGCCCUGGCCACUCUCCCGCGGCCUCAAGCAGCCAGCACAGGCUCCAAGUGACCGCGGGGCCACAGUGCGCGAGAGGAAAGGGGUUCGGAACGUGCGGGGUGGAGAGCUGGGACGCACAUGACGGCCCCUUUCUCCGCCCUGACUUAAUGCCCCAGCGCUCGCAGCCGCUGCUCUCUUUUUAAGAGAAUGGGGCAGGUGCAGGUUUGGUUGCUGCUGUUUUAGCCGCUCCAAGGAAAUUGUUUGGUGUAAGAUUGAUUUCCUAAGCGAAUGCGUGCGCGUUUCCAGCAACACAGGGCAACAUUUCUCGCCCCCAAAACCGGUGAAAUUAAACAGAUUUCCUUUUGAAAAGGCCCUUGGGGACGCUAGGGAGUCAGAUGUGACAACUAAUUUUAAAAUAACUGUUUAACGGGUGGUUAGGGAGCUCGCUUUCUCUCCACUACCAAGUUCACCUCUUCUUCCACCCCCUCUAAAGCAAGUGACUUGACGAUAGGUGACCCGUCCCCUAUUCCUCCCCUUAAUGCCAGUCUGGAAGCGCACUGUCUUGGAGAAGGGAUGUGUCUCCUCGCCCUCGAGAACCAGCGCGGAGAUCUUCUUUUGUGCCUCCGCUUGGCUGUGAACUUUCCCGCGCGAGGCCGGUUUCCUGUCUGUGUGUGGAAUGGAAGGACCGCGCCGGGGCUUUCCGCCUGCACACAGUCAUUUGGAGAAAAUCAAGUGAGCACACCUCUCCCCACAGAGGAUUCUGUGUGUUACGUAACACACUUACACUGGGAUUCCUCAAGUUACCAUUUUGCCCCAAAUCAGCCAGGACUUGGUUUUCUGGUGGGGGUGUCAGGAUGAUGCAAAUGGAGGUGAAAGCUUCAUUCCCUGGGGGCUUUUAUUCCCCUCCUUGAAGCCCCAGUUCAAGGCCCAGGAACAAAGGGGAAAGGUAACUGAUCUCUCUUUUGGUCUUCCUCUCCCCUCACUUCCACCCCCUCACCUGCAGACCCUUCUCUUUGAUAAAUAGAGGAAAGCCAGUGGGAUCAGGUACAUAUGUAAAUACUACUGACCUCGGCCUCCCCUUCUCACUGAAAAGCGGAAAGCCCGUUUCAGGUGCAGGCUGCUCCCUGCCUUUGAGUGUCCACCACUUCUACUCCCCCAGACUGCGUGAGACUCAGGGCUACUCACUUAGCAUCCCUCUCUUGUUAAAAAACAUUCAGGACAACUAUUAAAUAGUUCUUGGAAGAGUUUAAGACCUUCUUUCAGGAGUGAAAUGUUUUAAAAGCCUUGCUUGGCAGAAAUCUUUAAGGCGUACAAAGUAGAAUCAGUAGGCUUGCCUGAGCGAUUUUGAAAUUUGAAAGAUUUCUCCCCAUGAAAUGUUAAUUUAAAAUAGUUUGUAGAUGUUAUUUUGUUCUACGAUGGCUUUUUCACUAUUGUCACCUAAAGAUUCUCAAGACCAAGCUACUAAGACAUUUCUUUUGAUUUGGUUAGUUUCUGGGUGAUACUAUACUUUCUGAUUAGACCUAUUUAAUUUAUUUUUUUUUAACUCUGCAGGACAGUUUUCAACCUUGAAAAUGUAAGUGAAACACAGACUCGCCCUUCCUCUGAGACCCUGGUUAGGGGCAGAAAGGAACAAAUCUAGCUAGCCUCACUCACACCUCGAAGUUUCCCUGUCUGUACCUGGGUACAGUGAGCAUGGUGGGUUUUGACGCCUUUUAUUUUAUUGCUGGCUCAAGGAAUAUUCUUUGAAAUGAAUAUCUAUUUUAUUUCAGUGUGCAGUGUUCCAGACAACUAAAUGGGCUUGCCUUAUGCCAAGAGGCAGUCCUGGAGGACAGAGCUAAUAUGUGAUCUCCCAGGAAGCUCAUCAGAACACCUCUUGUCCCUUUUCUUUAAAAAAAAAUAAAAAGUUUUUGGUUCCCUCUCAGUGUCUGUUUCAUUAUUUUGUAGCUACAAUAAUGAAACAUGGGCAGCAGUGAUCAUUCUUUUUGUCCUUUGUAACCAUGCCUAGUGUUGGGAACUCACGAAGCCCCAGACAUACCUUGGAUGUAUUUUGUGCUUUUCACAUUUAUUCACUGCUCACUGGGCCACACAGAUCAUUCACACUUGAUUCUGCCUACCUCUGGACAACUCUCCCUCAAACAACACCCCUCUAUGAACUUAUAGGGAAAGGGGAUUCACUUAGAGAAAACUUCCUGAAUUUAAAAAUACCAGACUCAGUUUCGCCAGGUAACUGAUCCUGGUCAUACCAGUGACUAGGAUGUCAUCACCUAACACUCUCAGGAAGGAGGCAGGCCAGUGGGCACA